RNAcentral lists this ribosomal RNA (195 nucleotides) under uncultured bacterium. Its description in RNAcentral is "partial 16S ribosomal RNA". It matches the Rfam family "Bacterial small subunit ribosomal RNA", at positions 338 to 524 of the family's 1533-position model. The record is from RNAcentral.
CCUACGGGAGGCAGCAGUGGGGAAUAUUGGACAAUGGGGGGAACCCUGAUCCAGCCAUGCCGCGUGUGUGAAGAAGGCCUUUUGGUUGUAAAGCACUUUAAGCGAGGAGGAGGCUACCUAGAUUAAUACUUUAGGAUAGUGGACGUUACUCGCAGAAUAAGCACCGGCUAACUCUGUGCCAGCAGCCGCGGUAAU